UGGGACACGUGGAAUUGUCACUACUUAUGGACCCGAACCUAGGUGAUCUAUCCAUGACCAGGAUAAAGCUUAGGUAAAAUUAAGUGGAGGUCCGAACAGACUGAUGUUGAGGAAUUAGCAGAUGAGCUGUGGUUAGAAGUGAAAUGUCUAGUUCUCCUUGAAAUGCGUUGAGGCACAACAAUUGAAUGGACAUCUACGGGUAUAACAUUGUGUUGGUGCGGGCCAUGAGAGUGGUACCAAAUCGAGACAAACUCUGAAUACUAGAUAUGACCUCAAAAUAAUAGUGGUCAAGGUCGACCAGUGAGAUGAUGGUGGAUAAGCUUUAUCGUCGAGAGGGAAACAACCCAGAUUACCAGCACAGGCUCCUAAAUUAUUCCUCAGUGAUAAGGUACAAAGACUGCCAGAAGUUUGCCUAGAAAUAGCGACCCCUGGAAGAGUGCAUAAUACUUCACUGAUCGAAUGGCUCUUGCGCCGAAGACGAACGAGGCUAAGCGAUCUACCGAAGGUAUAGGAUGUAAAAAUACAUCGGUUAGGAGAGCGUUCCGCCUUAGAAGGAAGCUCCCGUGCAAGCAGUGAUGGACGCAAAAAUUUGUGAAAAUCCA
RNAcentral lists this ribosomal RNA (602 nucleotides) under Olea europaea subsp. europaea. Its description in RNAcentral is "LSU_rRNA_archaea". It matches the Rfam family "Bacterial large subunit ribosomal RNA", at positions 683 to 1297 of the family's 2925-position model. The record is from RNAcentral. Lineage: Eukaryota; Viridiplantae; Streptophyta; Magnoliopsida; Lamiales; Oleaceae.